This 253-nucleotide ribosomal RNA is filed under the name uncultured bacterium. RNAcentral describes it as "partial 16S ribosomal RNA". It matches the Rfam family "Bacterial small subunit ribosomal RNA", at positions 524 to 776 of the family's 1533-position model. The record is from RNAcentral.
UACAGAGGUCUCGAGCGUUGUUCGGAUUCAUUGGGCGUAAAGGGUGCGUAGGUGGCGCUGUAAGUCAGGUGUGAAAUUUCGGAGCUUAACUCCGAAACUGCAUUCGAUACUGCGGUGCUUGAGGACUGGAGAGGAGACUGGAAUUUACGGUGUAGCAGUGAAAUGCGUAGAUAUCGUAAGGAAGACCAGUGGCGAAGGCGGGUCUCUGGACAGUUCCUGACACUGAGACACGAAGGCCAGGGGAGCAAACGGG